Molecule: ribosomal RNA, 497 nt
Filed under: uncultured bacterium
Lineage: Bacteria
Description: partial 16S ribosomal RNA
Rfam family: Bacterial small subunit ribosomal RNA
Source: RNAcentral
GAUGAACGCUGGCGGCGUGCCUAAUACAUGCAAGUCGAGCGAACGGACGAGAAGCUUGCUUUUCUGAUGUUAGCGGCGGACGGGUGAGUAACACGUGGAUAACCUACCUAUAAGACUGGGAUAACUUCGGGAAACCGGAGCUAAUACCGGAUAAUAUUUUGAACCGCAUGGUUCAAAAGUGAAAGACGGUCUUGCUGUCACUUAUAGAUGGAUCCGCGCUGCAUUAGCUAGUUGGUAAGGUAACGGCUUACCAAGGCAACGAUGCAUAGCCGACCUGAGAGGAUGAUCGGCCACACUGGAACUGAGACACGGUCCAGACUCCUACGGGAGGCAGCAGUAGGGAAUCUUCCGCAAUGGGCGAAAGCCUGACGGAGCAACGCCGCGUGAGUGAUGAAGGUCUUCGGAUCGUAAAACUCUGUUAUUAGGGAAGAACAGAUGUGUAAGUAACUGUGCACAUCUUGACGGUACCUAAUCAGAAAGCCACGGCUAACUACGUG